AAAAAGAUGAAACAAUUCCUGUGUAAAUACUACUUCAUCAAAAAAAAAAUCCUAUGUUAAAACUUUGCAGCAGUUUUCUGCUCUUUAGAAACAAUACUUUUACCAUUCUAAAAUAAGAAAAGGAUGAAACAAUACCAAGUUGGUGCUGCUCUUUAGGGAAGAUCAAAUAUACUUAAAGUAAUUUAGUCAUAAACAUGAAGUGCGUGUUACCCAUCCUUAUGAUUAGUUACUGCUCUGAAGAGCUUAAAAUAUCAAUACAAUCAUGUAUACCAUUUACAUCAUUUUGAUUACACAAAUAAAUAAGUCCUAACACAACCCUCAGGGGUUGGCCUGCUGGCAAUUGACUUGAGCCUUGGGGUUUGCUCCCUUUCAAGGUCUCAAGUUCGAAACCCACUGGGUGCAAACAAUUUCUGAGGGCCAUCGGACUGGGUAAAACCUGAAUUAACCGUGGUGC
Molecule: long non-coding RNA, 454 nt
Filed under: Solanum tuberosum (potato)
Lineage: Eukaryota; Viridiplantae; Streptophyta; Magnoliopsida; Solanales; Solanaceae
Description: long non-coding RNA (STUB_LNC010290)
Source: RNAcentral